Micropterus dolomieu (smallmouth bass) is the source of this 1246-nucleotide long non-coding RNA. RefSeq lists it as uncharacterized. The transcript is spliced from 3 exons. The record is from RefSeq and is a predicted model, not a curated record. NCBI's taxonomy places the organism in Eukaryota, Metazoa, Chordata, Actinopteri, Centrarchiformes, Centrarchidae.
AGGGUUGAGAAAAGCUAGUGAGGGGAAGAAUGGCUGAAAACAGAAGGGACUGUCAGUAGUAUUAUUAAAGCUGUAACAGAUAGCUGCUCUUAGCAUCGCACGGCCAGCAGCUCCAGGGCCUCAUCCCUAGCACCUUCUCCUUGAUGUUAGCACCGGGCCGCUCUGGGACCGGAUCGGGGCGGCUCAUUGAGUGACAGCUUCAAUAAGGCUAAUUACAGUGGGCUGCAGGGCCCAUUUAUGUUGUCUGGCGACUCCACCCACUGUGGAGCCAGGGGGACUGUGUUAACUAUGGUGUUAGACCAAGUUACCUGAGAAAUCUCCACAUCCUGUUCCUGUAUUCAGAGUUAUAUUCUCAGCUGACCUGGGAUCCUACAUGACACAUCCACAGUGUUGAAGACGUUAGUCAGCCAACCUGGAAAUAGCCAGCAGGACAGCAAUGUUUGUGAAGUGCGUAGGCCAGUGUGGGAGGCUCAUUCCACAGUGGAGCCAGGACUGUUUAGAGGCCUGUUGUGUCUGGAGUCUCUCGGGUCACUUUAAUAUCAGCCCAAGGCCUUGAAUUGGCCCCCAUGUCGCUCCAGCAAUUACAGGAGGAUUCCCCUCGUCCGUCUUCCUCCCUUGCUCCCUCCCUCCCUCUGCUGCUCUUGCUGUUGCUGCUGUCUGCCACUUUGUUGCCUCUACUAAACUGUGGCCUCUCACAUUCCACUUCUUUCACUUUGUCUUCUGUUUAUCCACCACAUUUUAUUCAACACAUAACUGAUGCUGAGCACAAAGUAGGACAUAUUCUGCCCCAAAUCCUGUUUAGUAGGCCUCCAAACACUGUGUCUUUGCAAUUCCAGAGGAGAUUUGAGUGAGAACUGCUAACCCCCCGAGUCCAUCGUCAACCUUUUCAACCAUCUCUCUCUUAACUCGGUGUUUACUCUAUCAUUGAUCUGCCAGUAAACCAAGUUCCUGUCUGCCUAUUUGUGUUUAAGCGGACGCAAGCCUGCCCUGUGAGCUUGCGUGUAUACAAUAAUGCUUUUAGGGAUUGGGCCCUACGUUGGGCCUUUUAACUUCAGUCAGCACUGCAUCCUGGUAUCCUGGUGUGACUGGUUUGAGGGGGUAAUUCACUCCACCAGAAACACAGGCUUUUAGAGGUUCCACAUGUGCCUUGGCACCAGACAGAAGAAAGGCCGGUAGGUUUCAUUAAUUGUGGCAACAUUCCUGUAGCGUUGUCAGGCAGUUUUAUUAGUAUUAGCUUUGCCCGCAG